AGAGUUUGAUCCUGGCUCAGGAUGAACGCUGGCGGCGCGCCUAACACAUGCAAGUCGAACGGUUAAAGCACCUCCGGGUGUGCAUAAAGUGGCGAACGGCUGAGUAACACGUGGGCAACCUGCCCCUCGCUCCGGGACAGCCUCGGGAAACCGUGGGUAAUACCGGAUACUCCGCGACCCCCGCAUGGGGGGCGCGGGAAAGCCCAGACGGCGAGGGAUGGGCCCGCGGCCUGUUAGCUAGUUGGUGGGGCAACGGCCCACCAAGGCGAUUAUGGGUAGCUGGGUUGAGAGACCGACCAGCCAGAUUGGGACUGAGACACGGCCCAGACUCCUACGGGAGGCAGCAGUGGGGAAUCUUGCGCAAUGGGCGAAAGCCUGACGCAGCGACGCCGCGUGCGGGACGAAGGCCUUCGGGUCGUAAACCGCUUUCAGCAGGGACGAGGCCGCGAGGUGACGGUACCUGCAGAAGAAGCCCCGGCUAACUACGUGCCAGCAGCCGCGGU
This 503-nucleotide ribosomal RNA is filed under the name Coriobacteriaceae bacterium EG22. RNAcentral's name for it is "bacterial SSU rRNA". It matches the Rfam family "Bacterial small subunit ribosomal RNA", at positions 8 to 521 of the family's 1533-position model. Lineage: Bacteria; Bacillati; Actinomycetota; Coriobacteriia; Coriobacteriales; Coriobacteriaceae. The record is from RNAcentral.